Saimiri boliviensis boliviensis (Bolivian squirrel monkey) is the source of this 552-nucleotide non-coding RNA. NCBI's taxonomy places the organism in Eukaryota, Metazoa, Chordata, Mammalia, Primates, Cebidae. The record is from the annotation of a RefSeq genome assembly.
GCUAACGACAGAAGCAGAUGCAUCUGUGGACAGUUUAAGAAACCACAGUGCUUUGGAGGAAAGGAAGAGAUACUUGAUAAUAAAAGUAGUUUUCUUGGCUUGCACAUCCCAGCCGGGAGAACAAUGAAGACACUUACUGGAUCUUUGUUUCUGUUUUUGUGGCUGCAGCUAGAUUGUAUGAGUAGCGGAGAGGACGUGGAACAGAGUCGUUUCCUGAGUGUCCAAGAGGGAGACAGCGUUGUUAUGAACUGCACUUACACAGACAGUUCCUCCAGCUACUUAUAUUGGUAUAAGCAAGAACCUGGUGCAAGUCUCCAGCUGCUGGCAUAUAUUCUUUCAAAUACGGACAUGAAACAAGACCAAAGACUCACUGUUCAAUUGGAUAAGAAGAAUAAACAUCUCUCUCUGCACGUUGCAGAAGCACAGACUGGGGACUCAGCUAUCUACUUCUGUGCAGAGAGUACACAUUGCUUCUCAGGCACCUGUAUCUUGUACCCAAACCUGUGCCUGGGUCUGAAGCCACACUCUGUUUCCUUUGGUGCUAACCUUUAA